GGGUAGGUGCCCGAGUGGCUAAAGGGGACGGACUGUAAAUCCGUUAGCUUGCGCUUACGAAGGUUCGAAUCCUUCCCUGCCCA
RNAcentral lists this transfer RNA (83 nucleotides) under Bdellovibrio bacteriovorus. It matches the Rfam family "tRNA". From Rfam's summary of the family: Transfer RNA (tRNA) molecules are approximately 80 nucleotides in length. Their secondary structure includes four short double-helical elements and three loops (D, anti-codon, and T loops). Further hydrogen bonds mediate the characteristic L-shaped molecular structure. tRNAs have two regions of fundamental functional importance: the anti-codon, which is responsible for specific mRNA codon recognition, and the 3' end, to which the tRNAs corresponding amino acid is attached (by aminoacyl-tRNA synthetases). tRNAs cope with the degeneracy of the genetic code in two manners: having more than one tRNA (with a specific anti-codon) for a particular amino acid; and 'wobble' base-pairing, i.e. permitting non-standard base-pairing at the 3rd anti-codon position. RNAcentral also lists the same sequence under 1 other name. The record is from Rfam by way of RNAcentral. Lineage: Bacteria; Pseudomonadati; Bdellovibrionota; Bdellovibrionia; Bdellovibrionales; Pseudobdellovibrionaceae.